AUUAUAUAACUAAUAUAUAUUAAAAUACUAAUAUUUUUCUUUUUUGAGAAACCAAGAAGGUAUCUCACUGAUGGAGAUACCCUUAGUUGUCAUCAAUCAUCAUCAUCUAUAUUGCAUACAGUGUAAAAAGUUCAUAUUAAAUCUACUAAAAUAAAGGGUAAAAGUAAGAUUCAAUGAGUGAGCCAUUUAUGAUUUAAGAAAAAAUAAAAUGAAA
RNAcentral lists this small RNA (214 nucleotides) under Arabidopsis thaliana (thale cress). RNAcentral describes it as "ATSL293260". Lineage: Eukaryota; Viridiplantae; Streptophyta; Magnoliopsida; Brassicales; Brassicaceae. The record is from RNAcentral.